GUGGGAAGCGUCCCCUCUCCGUCCCGGUCCGGCGUCGAACCGCCCCUAUUCCCCCCCCCUCCAACCGUCGUCGUCCCAAACGUCUACACCCCGACGUUGAAGACGCUUCACUACAAGACAAGACAAAACCAUACCGUUCCCUCUCUUUUCGCUAGUUUAGGGUUUCAUCCGUACACUUGUUUCCUUCACCGAUGCUCUUCCCCACUCUAUGGUUUGCUUGCACUCCACAAUUUCUCUCUGAUGGCGGCGGAGUAGCUUAGGGAUUUAAGUCAACCGAUUGAUGUUGCUCUGCUUGAUGCCACCGUCGCAUCUAAAGAUGAGGUUCUUGAGGGUGUUAUCAAAUAUAGAUGGAAUGUAUUGCCUGUUGAGCAACGGGACGGAAUGAAAAACUACAUAUCUGAUGUUAUUGUGAAGCUUUCGAGUAAUGAGGUUUCUUUUCGGCAAGAAAGGUUGUAUGUUAACAAACUUAACAUAAUACUAGUUCAGUGACAAGCAAAGGUGAAGGAAUGCGUGGCGGAAGAAAGGGUACGCGUGGCGGGGGAAAAGGUACGUGUGGCCGGAGAAAAGGUUCGGGGGACGGAAGAAAAGGUUCCGGUGGGCAAAGAAAAAAAUGAACUAAAAGAAUGGGACAUAAUGACGACCGAUGUUGAAAGUUAUCCCGAACAAAAACACGUUACUUGAAGCUUCAUUUAUUUAAUUUAGAGGUAUUUACAGAAUGGUCCUUCUAUUUCACCACCAAACAUUUAUGGGUACAAAGUUUUUUUUUAAAUGUUAUGUUUUUUUUUAAGUUUAUGUUUUUUUUAAAGUU
Helianthus annuus (common sunflower) is the source of this 808-nucleotide long non-coding RNA. RefSeq lists it as uncharacterized. Lineage: Eukaryota; Viridiplantae; Streptophyta; Magnoliopsida; Asterales; Asteraceae. The transcript has 4 exons. The record is from RefSeq and is a predicted model, not a curated record.